This 602-nucleotide ribosomal RNA is filed under the name Enterobacter sp. RNAcentral describes it as "bacterial SSU rRNA". It matches the Rfam family "Bacterial small subunit ribosomal RNA", at positions 865 to 1467 of the family's 1533-position model. The record is from RNAcentral. Lineage: Bacteria; Pseudomonadati; Pseudomonadota; Gammaproteobacteria; Enterobacterales; Enterobacteriaceae.
UCGACCGCCUGGGGAGUACGGCCGCAAGGUUAAAACUCAAAUGAAUUGACGGGGGCCCGCACAAGCGGUGGAGCAUGUGGUUUAAUUCGAUGCAACGCGAAGAACCUUACCUGGUCUUGACAUCCACAGAACUUUGCAGAGAUGGAUUGGUGCCUUCGGGAACUCUGAGACAGGUGCUGCAUGGCUGUCGUCAGCUCGUGUUGUGAAAUGUUGGGUUAAGUCCCGCAACGAGCGCAACCCUUAUCCUUUGUUGCCAGCGGUUAGGCCGGGAACUCAAAGGAGACUGCCAGUGAUAAACUGGAGGAAGGUGGGGAUGACGUCAAGUCAUCAUGGCCCUUACGAGUAGGGCUACACACGUGCUACAAUGGCGCAUACAAAGAGAAGCGACCUCGCGAGAGCAAGCGGACCUCAUAAAGUGCGUCGUAGUCCGGAUUGGAGUCUGCAACUCGACUCCAUGAAGUCGGAAUCGCUAGUAAUCGUAGAUCAGAAUGCUACGGUGAAUACGUUCCCGGGCCUUGUACACACCGCCCGUCACACCAUGGGAGUGGGUUGCAAAAGAAGUAGGUAGCUUAACCUUCGGGAGGGCGCUAACCACUUUGAUU